RNAcentral lists this ribosomal RNA (600 nucleotides) under uncultured marine eukaryote. Its description in RNAcentral is "SSU rRNA". It matches the Rfam family "Eukaryotic small subunit ribosomal RNA", at positions 1 to 598 of the family's 1831-position model. The record is from RNAcentral.
AACCUGGUUGAUGCCUGCCAGUAGUCAUAUGCGUUGUGCUCAAAGAUUAAGCCAUGCAUGUCUAAGUACAAGCCUCACUAAGGUGAAACCGCGAAUGGCUCAUUAAAUCACACCUAAUCUACUGGAUAGUAAAAAGUUACUUGGAUAACUGCGGUAAUUCUGGAGCUAAUACAUGCACAAAGCCGCGACUCACGAAGCGGCGCUUUUAUUAGAUCAAAACCAAACGGCUUCGGCUGUACUCAUGGUGACUCUGAAUAACUUUGGGCUGAUCGCAUAGCCUUGAGCUGGCGACAUAUCCUUCGAAGGUGUGCCCUAUCAACUUUCGACUGUGGCAUAGACGCCCACAGUGGUUUUGACGGGUAACGGGGAAUCAGGGUUCGAUUCCGGAGAGGGAGCCUUAAAAACGGCUACCACAUCUAAGGAAGGCAGCAGGCACGCAAAUUACCCAAUGACCGAAGGUCGAGGUAGUGACGAAAAAUAACGAUAGAGGACUCAUCCGAGGCCCUCUAAUUGGAAUGAGUACACUUUAAAACCGUCCCCGAGGAUCUAUUGGAGGGCAAGUCUGGUGCCAGCAGCCGCGGUAAUUCCAGCUCCAAUAGC